This 508-nucleotide ribosomal RNA is filed under the name uncultured bacterium. Its description in RNAcentral is "partial 16S ribosomal RNA". It matches the Rfam family "Bacterial small subunit ribosomal RNA", at positions 28 to 507 of the family's 1533-position model. The record is from RNAcentral.
GACGAACGCUGGCGGCGUGCCUAAUACAUGCAAGUCGAACGCUUCUUUCCUCCCGAGUGCUUGCACUCAAUUGGAAAGAGGAGUGGCGGACGGGUGAGUAACACGUGGGUAACCUACCCAUCAGAGGGGGAUAACACUUGGAAACAGGUGCUAAUACCGCAUAACAGUUUAUGCCGCAUGGCAUAAGAGUGAAAGGCGCUUUCGGGUGUCGUUGAUGGAUGGACCCGCGGUGCAUUAGCUAGUUGGUGAGGUAACGGCUCACCAAGGCCACGAUGCAUAGCCGACCUGAGAGGGUGAUCGGCCACACUGGGACUGAGACACGGCCCAGACUCCUACGGGAGGCAGCAGUAGGGAAUCUUCGGCAAUGGACGAAAGUCUGACCGAGCAACGCCGCGUGAGUGAAGAGGGUUUUCGGAUCGUAAAACUCUGUUGUUAGAGAAGAACAAGGACGUUAGUAACUGAACGUCCCCUGACGGUAUCUAACCAGAAAGCCACGGCUAACUACGUG